This 373-nucleotide long non-coding RNA is filed under the name Homo sapiens (human). RNAcentral describes it as "uncharacterized LOC613206 (LOC613206)". The record is from RNAcentral. Lineage: Eukaryota; Metazoa; Chordata; Mammalia; Primates; Hominidae.
CCUGUCUUAACCUACUUGGCUUUGCAGCAUGCAACAGGAGCAAAGCACGACAAAGGCAGCCAGAUGUGGUUUAAGGUUUUGUUUGCUAAAAGAAGACGUCCAAAGUUCAUUCGGUAAGCUCAAACUCGCUGAGUCCAAACUCGCUGAGUCCGGGGCAGGCGCUUCCAGACGGCUCUGCGUCCCUUUCAAUGAAAUUCUUCUUCCAUUAACGACAGGGUUUUUAAACGUGCCUCCAAGACCUGCCUGCACGUACUGUACACCAAACUAAGGCGACAUUUUCCCCCAAAAAAGGCAAGCUGAAUUUGGAAAAGUCAGACCAACUAGGGAGCUCUGGAAUUUCUAAAGUUUGCCUUAAAGCAAAAAAAAAAAAAAA